CCUACGGGAGACAGCAGUGGGGAAUAUUGCGCAAUGGGCGAAAGCCUGACGCAGCGACGCCGCGUGAGGGAUGAAGGUCUUCGGAUCGUAAACCUCUGUCAGCAGGGAAGAACGGUCACUGUGCUAAUCAGCAGUGAAUUGACGGUACCUGCAAAGUAAGCACCGCCUAACUCCGUGCCAGCAGCCGCGGUAAUACGGAGGGUGAGAGCGUUAAUCGGAAUUACGGGUGGUAAGGGGCUCGUAGGCGGUAUGUCAAGUCAAGGUUGAAAGCCCCGGGCUCAACGUGGGAACUGCCUUUGAAACUGGCAAACUGGAGUGUGUGUGAGGAGAGUGGAAU
This 337-nucleotide ribosomal RNA is filed under the name uncultured bacterium. Its description in RNAcentral is "partial 16S ribosomal RNA". It matches the Rfam family "Bacterial small subunit ribosomal RNA", at positions 338 to 667 of the family's 1533-position model. The record is from RNAcentral.